UCUAUCUCUCUAUCUCUGGUUCUAUCUAAAACCUUUCCCCUCCCCUCCUAUCCGAUGAGCCUUUCAUCUUGUCCGGCUACCUCUUGGCCUAAAUCCAUGGUGGUUUCACCACCCACCAGCUUCCUAUGGAUCCUCACGCUUGGUUACUGAAGUUUCAUGACUUGACCACGAAGAGUUCGGCCCAGAUCUUUGUCGAUUCAAGUCCCACGGCCAUCUCCGGCCUUGCUCUGGUAAGCCGUGUCUGUUCGAGCCUGGCCUCAACUCCUCCUUCUUAGAUCUAGGCCUUUCUCACUGUUUGGGUUCCUCUGAAACCCUAGCGCUUAAGGUUUUUCUGAUCACUGUAGAUCUGUUCCAGAUCCAUAUUUUUCCUAAGCUUCUAAAAGAUUUUCUGAUAUUUCUUUGAAAAGUUAUGCUUUCAAAACCUUUAUUUUCCGAUCUAGAGUUUUGAGUUAUGUUUCUCUGAUUUUCUUGAGUGUUUCUAUGAUUUUCUUCUUCUCUUGUGUGUUUUUCUACUACGUCUCUCCUACUGUGUUCUUGUUAAAGUUUCUUCUACCACGUUCUUCUGCUAUGUUUCUCUUACCGUUCUCUCGUUAAGAUCCUCCUACCGUGUUCCUAUUUGUUUCUUCUACUAGUUCUUCUACUAUUGUUUUGCAUUUUACUUUUUACUAUGUUUCUCAUGAAUUUCUAUUACUGAAGGAACAUGUUAAAUGGUCUCAAUUCCUUUCUGAGAUCUCUAAACCUGUUUCAAGUAGUAUCAUUUCCCCUAAUUACUUUCCCUUUUGUCUCUGCACUCGGUUAAUGGCAAGAACCUUAAAUUUGGGGGUUCAUCCGAGUUUUGAGACCCCUGGCUAUGUUAUUUCCUGUCUCUUCAUCUCUGAACUUGUCUGAUUCCAAAAACCCUAAUUUUCGGACCUAUUUGAGUGCCUAAAAUUGUUUCAUCUACUGCUUUAUUAAAUUUCAAAAUCAUUGUUUCAAUUUUGUUUCUUCAUAUGAUUCUGACUUUUGCCAAUCUCUAUAAAACCUUUUACUUUAUCCCUUCUCGCAUGCCUGAUACUUGUGUACUCUUUAUAUGUGCUAUACUUCCCCUCUAAAAUGGCUUUCAAAUUUUGAAUAGUUUCAGACUUCCUUUUGUAUAGGUUUGACUGAUUUCUUUCCUUGUUUGCUGAUUUCCCUAUGACUCAAAAGUUUUCCUUAGCUUUUCUGACUUGGUUCAUUUAUGGACCAAUACUUACAAAAUCUUUGACCCCCUGAUUUACAGCAUACUGGGAGAUUCUUACCUUAUUUGUUUUAACCAUGUAUUUCAAAACCCUUCCCUUAAUUAAAACCCCUAUGUAUUUACCCCUAAUUACCUACUUUGCACAAGAUGUUUAUUUGAUUCCUUUCCCUAAAUAGCUUUUACCGUUUAAGUUUGAAUUCUGUUAUUAAGGGAAGUCUUGUAUUGAUUGAUUUUAAUUGAUAUUCAGUACCUUAAUUAUUUUCUUACCAUGUUUCACCAUGUUCUUCCCACUAUAAAUACCUGCUCCUUAUUGACACAAACACACCAUCACUCAUAGUUUUUCUGAAAUUACAUUUACACGCAAUAGCAUUCUCUCUUAUUGUCUGUACCGUGGCCUAUUUACAAGACCUACUGCUUUUCUCUGUUUGUUUCUUUAAAACUGGUAUGUCCUGAUUUAAGCUUUAGCACCACAACAAAGUGUUUAUUUACUACUUUUGUAUCUAUGUCUACUUACUAUUUCUGUAUAGUUCAACACUUACUUUAGCAUGCUGAUUUCUUCCUUCUUGUUCUAUUAUGAAUCCCAAACCCCUGCCCCCUAUGUGUUUGAGCUAUGGCUUAAAGCAUGGCAAUAUGCAAAUUAUUGUCCGUGAAUUAAACUUGAUCCCUUGGGAUCCUAGCCUCUAAAUAGUGUGUUCUAACAGGCUUAUGGGUAUGCUAGCAUUCUCCAUUGUUGGGCAUGCCGACAUGCUGCCUUUGCCUCUUUCAGUUUCCCUAUUCCCCCGAACUCCUUAUAUGUACUUAUUUCUGCUCUUUCCCUCUCCUUUUCCCCUUUUAGAGUUUUGUUUCUGCACUUGCACACUCUCUUAGUCUUUAAGUUUUGACCCCUCUUGUGAGCAUUGCCUUGAGACCCUUUGAGCUCCCUCUAAACUUGGACACUUGAUGGUUGGUCUUUCCACACUGCACUUGUCCUAAUCUGAUAAUACAUUUGGGUGUGAGCAUUGUCCGGAGUCGUUUUUAAGGCGCUUAGGUAACUUUGACACACUCAAAUGGGGGAAAGAUUUUGGAUCAUGAUCUCUUAGAGUUAGUUUACAUCAUAUUUCAGACAUGAAGUCUGAAUCAGGAUCUCCUUGGUUGUACUUUUAAUUUCUGAUGUAUUCUUUCAGUCUAUUCUAGGCCGUAAUAAUUUAUAAUAAACUCUUGGGGAUGGCUAGUAAAAAGGGCGGGUAACUAUGUAUGUAAAGGGUAGAUAUCAUACCUUUAUGUAUUUCUGAAUCCUGCAUCCUCACAUAGAUAUCAUGUUUAUACGUAUUUCUGAAUUCUGCAUUCUCUCAUAUAAAAAUCACGUCCAUAAGUAUCUGGAAAUUCGAAUUCUGCGCAUGCAUAUAAAAAAUAUGCC
Molecule: long non-coding RNA, 2612 nt
Filed under: Nicotiana benthamiana
Lineage: Eukaryota; Viridiplantae; Streptophyta; Magnoliopsida; Solanales; Solanaceae
Description: long non-coding RNA (NBEN_LNC027806)
Source: RNAcentral